CUCACGCCACCCAGUUGAGUUAUGGAUCCGGGCCGGAUAACACCACUGACUAUGCUGUCAAACCGAAUCUUGUGUGAUCCACCGGCAACCGUAACAUUGAAGUCGCAGGAGGCGGGGAGUGUCACCUCAACGGCGCCCCCAUGGUUCACGUACGACUUCACACCCUGAGGCAGGAGAGCCCGCGGGAAGUUGUUUUUCUCCAAAAGGUCGUACGCUGUGUCGGAGGUGGCUGCUUGGAGGACAGAAGCCAGGAAGACGAUGAGGAGCAGAUGCCGGAUGGCCAUGUCUAGCUAACUGUUGCUGCUUACAAAUUGUAUCAAGGAAUAUGAGGAACUAGGAAGUAUGUGUAGACUGAGGCCCUGGCCACGUAUUAUAUAUGCUGCCCAACGAAAUCAAAGUCAAUCGUACUUUAAUUGCAUUUAUUUUGUUCCUGAUUAUCACUCCAUCAACCACCACAUCAAAUAUGCUAAAAAUAUCAUCCCAUUAAAUCAUAUUUAUUUCUGGCCUAGAACAUUCUAUAGUUAAUGGUUAUGCCAAAACGUUCCUCAAAUAUUCAUAAUCAAUACGUACCAUAAAAUGAGACUGAAAUUUCAGAGCAACAUUCAUUUACGUACUUCACAGCCGACAUAUGAAACAUAUGCAAAAACCUAAAAAUGAAUCAAGGGGAAACAUCAACAUCCAAACAGUUUGAUCCUUGAUGUUGGCUUGGGUACCAAUGAGGCUUCUCUUCUCUUCAAAUAAUGUUGUGCAGUGCAACUAAAACAUAAAACACCCGCAAGAAAGAAAUAUUUCAUUUAGAUAUACUUGAGUUUUACAUGAGUAUGCGGUGCAAUAGAAUGAUUAUCUCCCAUUGUGCAGAUCAUCUCUUUCAGGAUGCCUACUCAGGCCAGCACAGACUCAUACAUAACAUCUCCGUGAAAGUUUCCACAAUGUUAUAGCAUGAACUCCCAGACCGUGAGAGAGGCUCAGUACCCAUAUCCAAAAUGAAGAGUGCGGAGGAGCAGGUGCCUACCCCUCCACCUUCCACUUCUCUUAAAAUUUUCCUGUGCAAUGCAACUCAACUAAAAAACAACUCCAAGCAAUAUAUUCAAUUUAUAUCUUGUUGGGUUAUGAUACGUCUCCAACGUAUUUAUAUAUUUUUUAUUGUUCCAUGCUAUUAUAAUUGUUGGGUCAUGAGCCGAAAGCAAGCCAUCGAACAUGCCAAUGUUGGAUUGGAUGAGAUUGUCGACCGCCUGAAGGAGGUUCUCAUCGUGAUCCUUGAAGAGCCGGUCCAGACCUACGGUGAAAUACGCUCGUUGAAGCGCGUACACGCCACACCUUUCCUUGGACGGCUUGUCCAUCGCCUCCGCUCACGGCCGAUCACGCCACCGCAUCCCGUGAUGGUGUCGCGGCAACUCCAGGACCACUUAAUCUUAUACCAAUUGUGAGCAACUCACCUGAUCGAGAGGAAUUGCUAGGGAUUAGAAUUCGAAAUUGCGGAAAUUGGUUUCUUAGCUAGACGUCCGUCCACCCUCACAGCUACACUACACCGCAUGUUGUCAUCAUCCAAAUCCCAGCCAGGAGAUAGGAGAGAAGUAUAAUGCCUACUAGCUUAGCCCGCGCGGCGACACGCCGCGCCCAUCGAUCAGUCGCGACUAUGUAGACUAUGGUCCAAGCAAUAGAGUAAUAAGUAGUUAUGAUGAAAUUUGUUGCAUAACUUGAGGCUUUUUAGCAAAUUCUUUUGUUCACAACAAUUUAUAGACACAAAUAUCUAUCUUUCGUGGAAACUUUUAGUUUAUUUUGUACAUAGCAAGGGUCUGUCCACCAAGUUGAAACAAAUACACAACAUGACCAAAAGUAAGGAACUUCAGAACAGUGCUUUCGUAGCUAAAAUUUAAUAAUUUUUCACAUUUCAUAACAUAAAUACUUAACUAAAACUUACAUCUGAUCUGAAGUACAACCAUUGAGACAGUAAAAAAACCACUAUUUUGAUCAUCAGAAAAAAAUUAAUGUGCAUUUCAUGGAAAAAGUUUAGAGACAAAAUAAUUUAGCCAAGAGAAAAACUAUUUCAGAUCACAAAAGGCGCUCCAAAGAGUAAUUGUGUAUAUUAUUCAAAAGAACACUUUGUUACCUUCAGGCUUUAAUUAGCCCCAUUGUAUCUUGUGGAAUCAUGCAGUGAUACAAAUUCUUACCAUAAACAAAAAAAUUAAGCAGCUCUUAAUAUAGAAACAACCAUAUCACUCUGAAUCAAGGGAGCAUGAUGCGAUGAACUGAUGACGGGGAAUCUAUGGUAGCAUAUACCCAGGAAACAGUGUUCAUGGAAACUUUGUUAAACAACCCCUUGCUCAGCUUAAAAGUAUUCCUUCCUGGGUCUCCACUGAAACAAAGCAAUAUUUAUACACCCACAGGUGAGAACAAUAUGAGAUUGUUCGAUAUAAAACCAACAAUGCUUGAACAUACUUGUUUCUCUACCUCACCAUGUGGCAACCAGAAAAAGCUUUAACAAUUUAAAAACCACUUGCAAAUUGAAGUUGAGAGCCUUCACUUAUUUCUCGAAAUGGAAGGAGGAAGGGGCCUUAAUUUGUCCCAGUAACCCCAUGAAUAUAAUUAGCCAAAUAUGUGGCAUUUCAUCUUAUUACAUGGUCAUGCUGAAGGAGGGAACAUCAAUAAAAUUAGGCAUAAGAAAUCCAUCAAAUGAAGAGAGAUGUACUUAGAAAUAAGAAUAACAAACAUUCUCAGAUACUAUGUACCUUAUCCUGCCUCUAAGAAUAUGUCAAGAAGGUGAAUCAUUCACUUUUAUGUUACCGUUGCUGACAACGGACAACUGUGGAUGGAAACAAAAUUCUCAGCAAUGCAUAUAUGAAACUAAGUAACAUGACUUAGAAAAUAUAAUGUAAAAUAUCACAAUAAACUACUACUAAGUAUGUUCAAUAGUAAUACAACCUCAGUUUGUACCCCAGAAAUUUCUAUCACCAAAACAUCUUAGAAGGUUCAGUGCUAGUGAUGUGCCUGCCAUAAGACCGAAUGCCAAUUUCUAGUUAAAAAAUAACCGCGCAAGACCAUAUUCCUCUACCGCAAAGGGUAUAUGAUCAAGUGGGGCCAACUAAAGACAGGCCCCACGAUUCCAUUUUUUAAUGUAUGUUGUUGUAUAAUGAAUGACGCGCUUGUAUGCUUACGUGACUAUUUGGUUUUUGAUGUGAUGGAAAUUGGAGGGAAAGAUGCUGGACGGACUAAUUUGAUCAAUCGGGUGAGUAGAAGUAUUAGAGUUUUGGCCAUCUCAUCCAUUAAAUUUGGAUGGAGGGUAUGCAUCUUAAUAUGAUAAACAUAUAUGCAUACCGUAUAUGGGUUAUAUACAUAUAAAAAUCAGUGCAGCAGGCAUUUUUUCUGAAUCUAAACAUCUUGGUGGCCGAGUUCCAGUGUGAAAAUAUUGGUUUUAGUCCCUGGUCAAAUGGACUGAUGCAUAUUAUGUUUGGUUGUACCACGAAAAAUAAUUUGGUUGCUUUAAGACAUUCAACCGAGGUAGACGAUGCAAUUUUGGCUGACAUGAAGUUUUACGAUCAUCAAUAUAGCAGAAUAUGCAAAAGAUGGGAUAAAGCAAGUCAUAUCUACUCCCUCAGUCCCAUAAUAUAAGAGCGUUUUUGACACGAUGGAGGGAGUAGUUUGUUUAUUUGUUUGAGGAACACUUAUUUGCUUGGAGAAUAAUGAAGUGUGCUUGCACCGGUGCACAUGAGAUGAACUUGAACAAACGAUCUGCAUUCAUAUAUGCAUUGUACCAGAAAUCAGUGCUGCUCUAACUUGCCUCUGCAUUGCCUCUGAACCAGUGCUGAUCUAUAUCGGAGAUCAGGAAUUUACUCAUCAGGUCACUGCAUCUACUUUAUUGCGAUUAAACCACCAAACUCAAAGAAAUACCUGCAAUUUAUUUAAUAGUCUUAUUUGAUUUUUUAUUCAGAAUGCGUUGAGCUAUUUCUUUUGCCGAGCUACAUUCUUGUACAUUGGAUUCUCAAGGAGCAUCACUUGCGAGACAUAUCUUCACAUACUACCAUUUCAGAACACCACUCCCUUCACGCACAGGACAUACAUGUUCUACAUCCACCCCUCACACUCCUAAUUUCAAAACCGAGUUGGCAGGUUAUUGUAAGGCAGGUAAGCAACCUUCUAGAUGGAAUGUUGGAAUUUACUCUGGCAAGGUAGGUCUUAAACAUAUUAUCAUCUGGCUAUCUACUGUUUGAGCUCCCCAUGCUGCUAACACCAUCAAAUAUUGUUUGCUCCGGACAUCUUCAUAUGCCAAUUUGACCUUCUUUUUGGCAGACACAGUAUCUCAGAACAUCUAAAUUGACUCCUUGCACAGGUCUCUGAAUUGACACAAUCAGAAGGAUAAAACAAUCGCUAGAGCUCUUAUAGGAAGUCAGCCAUCAUUUUACUUAGACUAAAGAAGGUGUCUAUCACAAAAAAGGAAAAAAAAGUAAGUGCGAAGAAACACAUGUAGGGUUGCACAUAAUUUGUAAGAGAUGAUCAAGGCAUAUAGUUGCAGCAAGUAGCAAAUGGCAUGAAUUUAUUCAUGAUGCACUCACGCAUCAAGGGUGUAAAUCUUCUUUAGCUAGGUCCAAAUGCAGAUAGAUACAGUACAUGAAUGAUGUGUGAUAUGUCAUUGUAGGUUUCAGACCUGAUGAAAAGUUUAUUACAGUACACGAAAAAUAUUCAUGAAACGGUUAUACAGUACAGGAAUGAUGAGAAAUCGGAAAUUUCUGUACAGGAAUGAUGUAUAAUAAAUUGCUGAGAGGAAUAAAGAAGAUGCAGAAUGUCUGAAACUUCUCAAAACUGGAAACAAUUAUACAAAAGCUACCUGACAGAGUAUACGGCUAGGAAUCUGCCUAAUUCAGUGUCUCUUAUAAUCCACCAACGACUACGGCGUAAUCACCAUCAUUGCGGCUCAACCAGAAUUCGAUCGAAUAAUGAGGCAAAUAAAGCAGCUAAUAUGGGGUAAAUGCACACUAACUUGGCAGCAAGAACAGAUGGGUCAUAAGCGCCUUCAGUGACCCUACGACCUGCAAAUGGCAGUAUACAGACAGUGCGCCUUUACUCUGAAUAACCGAGAAGGAGCUAUCUUUAUCCUCUUUUUUUGCGGGGGAGCUGUCUUUAUCCUCCACUCAAGCUAGAUAUACUUACAAAGUUAGAGUUGUAUAAAGUUUUGAAGCGUAGCGCUGUGAAUGGAUCACUCGUCCAGCAGCCUCCUGACACAUAAAAUAGGCAGAGCGAGCAUUACAAGGUCCCAUAACUCGGGGUCAGGCUAGUCGAACACGAUGACGCGCACCACCGUGCGCCACGCCGACGCCAGGUAGUAGAGCGCGGGCCUCUCGCACUGGUUGUGCGCUAGGGGCUUCAUGUUGAACGCGCGCGCCUUGUAGUCAGCGGGCCAGUACCAGUUCAAGAACGUCCACGCCGGCAUCUGCAUCUCCCGCGCCAGCACAACGCCCUCGGCACCGUCACCACGAACCCCCACGCCACUGACACCGUCCACCGGUUCGCCGCGAUGUAGCAUAUCAACUGGUGCAUCACCCCCGUCGAACAGCCUCCGCAGAGACGCCGGGCGCGAACGCAUGUUGGGGAUAAGCGGUCGAGGUGGUGCAGCGAGUCAGCGACACCAGCGGUGCCACCUGGUGGGCGGCGAGGAGGCCCAGGAGGUCACCAUACACGCCUUACUCGUGGAAGCCCGAGUGUCGGCACACCCACAUCCGCCAUGCCCCAUGCACGAUGUAGUAGGGGACGGCGAGGAGGUUGUCCGGGAGGAAGACCGUGUUGUCGACUUGUCGUCACCCAUGACGAACCAGCUACACCUGGGAGACUGAGGCGGAAGGUCUCGGAGAUGACAGUCGACGUGUGAGAUGCAUGCGGAUGGCAGAGCGAUGACCGUGCGUGUAGGAGAAACCGGAGGUAUCCGGUAAGAUCUUGAUGUAUAUGCACUCCUUCCGCUUCUCCAACAGGCGCGCCAACGCCGUGAAGCCGAACACUGUAGCGUAAUCGUCGUUGUCGACACCGUGGCUGUGGCAGGUUGCGGUGGUGGUGGCGUACUCGUCGUCAACACCACCGUAUCUGUGGAGGGUGGUGGUGGCAUCCUCGCCGUCGACACCACCGUGACCGUGGCGGGCAUCAGCAGGGGCCUCGCCAGCGGCAACGUGACUAAUCAGGAGGAUAGCGUUGUGGGCGGCUUCUUCUGGGUGGAGGCAGCCGGGCGCUGCCACGCUGGGCAAGAUGCUAUGUGCGAAGAAGAGCCCUUUUAUAGGCCAGUACGGCGGUGAAUGGGUGGCUGGGUUAUGCACCGCACUGGAGCAGAGUUUUCGGGAGCGUCUAGAACACACGGCUGGACAACAGCGGCAGUAACAAAAAGGUACAUAUCGAUUGGGCCAGAAGCGGUCACGACAGAAAUACAGAGAAGCAUCGAUGUGUCUGGAAAGGGACAUAUCGAUUGGGCCAGAAGCGGCCGCGACAGAAAUACAGAGAAGCAUCGAUGUGUCAACCAACCGAUCGCCACACCCGUUGAAGAAAUUUGAAUCAAAAAACUGAACACACCACUCAUUUCUACCCUGCCGUGUACCAAAAAAAUACCACGCGCCAUACCCACAACUCACCAUAGGUCACUUUCAUCCAAUUGGUUUAAUCUCAAAGCGAAAACCUUGCCUGCAAUAGAGGCUUGGGUAUUUAAACUAGUGAUCGCUAACAUAGUAGAAGGGCGUGCUCAUAGUCCAUCAACCAUCGCGGUGGGUUGAUCUCGAACCUAGGCUGCGGUUAGAGCAUAAAAAUUGUAUGCGAUAUUGAGUCCAUCACACAAAGUUAGAACAUACAAACUAUGUGCAAUAGGAAGGGUCCAUCACACACGGUUAUAAUUAAAAAUCGUGUGCUCGGAUGGGUUGGCGAUUGGGGUGCCAAUACACACGCUUUCAAAAAGGUGUGCGAUGAAUGGGCUCGACUAGGUCUAACAUAAGUGCUACAUUAUACAAUUAUUAAUUUUUUACAAGCAAACAUAGCACCAGACAUAAUUCACAAUUGGACAACCCAUCGCACACUCUACGAUAUUUUGUUCUGCCAUUUCUCUACUAAUGGACAAAAGGCACUCGGCUUACAUCGGUAUGCCAACAUGAUGUACCUUGAGUGCGUUACGCUGAGUGUCAAANNNNNNNNNNGCGAUAUUGAGUCCAUCACACAAAGUUAGAACAUACAAACUAUGUGCAAUAGGAAGGGUCCAUCACACACGGUUAUAAUUAAAAAUCGUGUGCUCGGAUGGGUUGGCGAUUGGGGUGCCAAUACACACGCUUUCAAAACGGUGUGCGAUGAAUGGGCUCGACUAGGUCUAACAUAAGUGCUACAUUAUACAAUUAUUCAUUUUUUACAAGCAAACAUAGCACCAGACAUAAUUCACAAUUGGACAACCCAUCGCACACUCUACGAUAUUUUGUUCUGCCAUUUCUCUACUAAUGGACAAAAGGCACUCGGCUUACAUCGGUAUGCCAACAUGAUGUACCUUGAGUGCGUUACGCUGAGUGUCAAACCCGCCGAGGCAAAAUCAGCCUUUGCUAGGGGGUCUGCACACCCAAUGGCGGAGCUAUGUUGGNNNNNNNNNNNNNNNNNNNNNNNNNNNNNNNNNNNNNNNNNNNNNNNNNNNNNNNNNNNNNNNNNNNNNNNNNNNNNNNNNNNNNNNNNNNNNNNNNNNNNNNNNNNNNNNNNNNNNNNNNNNNNNNNNNNNNNNNNNNNNNNNNNNNNNNNNNNNNNNNNNNNNNNNNNNNNNNNNNNNNNNNNNNNNNNNNNNNNNNNNNNNNNNNNNNNNNNNNNNNNNNNNNNNNNNNNNNNNNNNNNNNNNNUCUUGUAGUGGAGAAUUUUCAACGUAUGAUGUAAAAUAGCCGUUGUGUCAAAAGAAUUGACAGUUAGGUCACUUUGGGCCAAAAAAAAGUAUCCAAAAGAUGCCCUAUAUACCUAUAUGUUGCAAAAGAAAAUUACCCAAAAUUUUGUCACACACAUCUAGUAGCUGCAUUGAAACCAAAAACAAUGCAGCAGGAACCCAACCACUAGCGAUGAGACUACCCCACCGCCGACAGUCGCCACCCCACACCUACUUUGACCGACUGUGCAGCGCAUGCUGCCGCCGUGACUCAAUCGGCCGUUCUCAGCCCCGCUACCACCCUGCCGCUUGGGAUGUCCGCUACCAAAUCUUGGGCCGGCGCAUCCGAUUCCACCGACUCUGGCCAUAGAAAGUUGGUGUAGCUACCGGGACAUCCCCCUUCAGUAUUUUGGCUAAUUUUGAACUUUUUGUCCGGAUCACAAGAAAAUGUUAGUAUCGUCCAUGUUGCUGAAGGGGAAUUACUACUUGGGGAUUUGCUCACUGAAUAUUGGAAUAUACUUACUUUAUGCAUGCCAUCAAAUAUAGCUCAUCCCCUGAAAGAACAAAGAUUGCUGAUGUUUUUUUCCAUGGUUUUCUAAAACAAUGUUGAUCUUUUUCAGAGAAAUGCAAUGAUUAUUUUUAGAGAACAUUCUGCAAAUCAACUAAAUAAGAGUCUAGGCAUUCUUCUUGUUUUUUUCGGGGGGAAGGUGUCUAGGCAUUUAUUAACAUGUAGAACUUACAAUGCAUGGGGAAUGAAAGAUCAAAUAUACCUUGCUCUCCUUUCUUAUUUUAGUGGCUGUUAAUGUCAUCAUAAAGAAUAUUACACAUUAGGAUUGAGUUGUUUUGCUCUUCUAUUUUCCAGUAAGCCCUGCGAUAUUUUACAACCCAUCGGACACCCUUGUCGAUCUGAUGCUAUGUAGAUCAAGAUUAUUUCUAAUUACCUGCGAGACACCGACAAAGUAUAUCAUGUGGAAUUUCUUGUUCCUGUGGUUAGGAGGCUGGGCAAAAAAUAUAUAUGAUCAUCACAAUAAUAUUAGGUCUUGGAACCAUGACUUAUUACAUAAUCAGUUUAUUCACUCUACAUAAAGCAGCGGACUCACAAAGACACAUGCAUAUUGGAUACUACAUUAUAUGGAAGGCGUGCAUGCAUCCGUAACCGAUCACACCCUUAGCUGCACCUGGGGCUCUGCACGAAGUUGCUAACCGGAAAUGACUGGUCGAACGUGGCUGCAUGCUCACUACCAGUAAACCUCAGCUUGUCACCGACGCGUUGAACCGUGUGGAAUGUGAGAAAAUCCCACUCAAAUUGGAUCCUCACGCCACCCAAUUGAGUUAUGGAUCCGGGCCGGAUAACACCACUGACUAUGCUGUCAAACCGAAUCUUGUGUGAUCCACCGGCAACCGUAACAUUGAAGUCGCAGGAGGCGGGGAGUGUCACCUCAACGGCGCCCCCAUGGUUCACGUACGACUUCACACCCUGAGGCAGGAGAGCCCGCGGGAAGUUGUUUAUCUCCAAAAGGUCGUACGCUGUGUCGGAGGUGGCUGCUUGGAGGACAGAAGCCAGGAAGACGAUGAGGAGCAGAUGCUGGAUGGCCAUGGCUAGCUAACUGUUGCUGCUUACAAAUUGUAUCAAGGAAUAUGAGGAACUGGGAAGUAUGUGUAGACUGAGGCCCUGGCCACGUAUUAUAUAUGCUGCCCAACGAAAUCAAAUUCAAUCGUACUUUAAUUGCAUUUAUUUUGUUCCUGAUUAUCACUCCAUCAACCACCUCAUCAAAUAUGCUAAAAAUAUCAUCCCAUUAAAUCAUAUUUAUUUCUGGCCUAGAACAUUCUAUAGUUAAUGGUUAUGCCAAAACGUUCCUCAAAUAUUCAUAAUCAAUACGUACCAUAAAAUGAGACUGAAAUUUCAGAGCAACAUUCAUUUACGUACUUCACAGCCGACAUAUGAAACAUAUGCAAAAACCUAAAAAUGAAUCAAGGGGAAACAUCAACAUCCCAACAGUUUGAUCCUUGAUGUUGGCUUGGGUACCAAUGAGGCUUCUCUUCUCUUCAAAUAAUGUUGUGCAGUGCAACUAAAACAUAAAACACCCGCAAGAAAGAAAUAUUUCAUUUAGAUAUACUUGAGUUUUACAUGAGUAUGCGGUGCAAUAGAAUGAUUAUCUCCCAUUGUACAGAUCAUCUCUUUCAGGAUGCCUACUCAGGCCAGCACAGACUCAUGCAUAACAUCUCCGUGAAAGUUUCCACAAUGUUAUAGCAUGAACUCCCAGACCAUGAGAGAGGCUCAGUACCCAUAUCCAAAAUGAAGAGUGCGGAGGAGCAGGUGCCUACCCCUCCACCUUCCACUUCUCUUAAAAUUUUCCUGUGCAAUGCAACUAAACUAAAAAACAACUCCAAGCAAUAUAUUCAAUUUAUAUCUUGUUGGGUUAUGAUACGUCUCCAACGUAUUUAUAUAUUUUUUAUUGUUCCAUGCUAUUAUAAUUGUUGGGUCAUGAGCCGAAAGCAAGCCAUCGAACAUGCCAGUGUUGGAUUGGAUGAGAUUGUCGACCGCCUGAAGGAGGUUCUCAUCGUGAUCCUUGAAGAGCCGGUCCAGACCUACGGUGAAAUAUGCUCGUUGAAGCGCGUACACGCCACACCUUUCCUCGGACGGCUUGUCCAUCGCCUCCGCUCACGGCCGAUCACGCCACCGCGUCCCGGGAUGGUGUCGCGGCAACUCCAGGACCACUUAAUCUUAUACCAAUUGUGAGCAACUCACCUGAUCGAGAGGAAUUGCUAGGGAUUAGAAUUCGAAAUUGCGGAAAUUGGUUUCUUAGCUAGACGUCCGUCCACCCUCAUAGCUACACUACACCGCAUGUUGCCAUCAUCCAAAUCCCAGCCAGGAGAUAGGAGAGAAGUAUAAUGCCUACUAGCUUAGCCCGCGCGGCGACACGCCGCGCCCAUCGAUCAGUCGCGACUAUGUAGACUAUGGUCCAAGCAUUAGAGUAAUAAGUAGUUAUGAUGAAAUUUGUUGCAUAACUUGAGGCUUUUUAGCAAAUUCUUUUGUUCACAACAAUUUAUAGACACAAAUAUCUAUCUUUCAUGGAAACUUUUAGUUUAUUUUGUACAUAGCAAGGGUCUGUCCACCAAGUUGAAACAAAUACACAACAUGACCAAAAGUAAGGAACUUCGGAACAGUGCUUUCGUAGCUAAAAUUUAAUAAUUUUUCACAUUUCAUAACAUAAAUACUUAACUAAAACUUACAUCUGAUCUGAAGUACAACCAUUGAGACAGUAAUAAAACCACUAUUUUGAUCAUCAGAAAAAAAUUAAUGUGCUUUACAUGGAAAAAGUUUAGAGACAAAAUAAUUUAGCCAAGAGAAAAACUAUUUCAGAUCACAAAAGGCGCUCCAAAGAGUAAUUGUGUAUAUUAUUCAAAAGAACACUUUGUUACCUUCAGGCUUUAAUUAGCCCCAUUGUAUCUUGUGGAAUCAUGCAGUGAUACAAAUUCUUACCAUAAACAAAAAAAUUAAGCAGCUCUUAAUAUAGAAACAACCAUAUCACUCUGAAUCAAGGGAGCAUGAUGCGAUGAACUGAUGACAGGGAAUCUAUGGUAGCAUAUACCCAGGAAACAGUGUUCAUGGAAACUUUGUUAAACAACCCCUUGCUCAGCUUAAAAGUAUUCCUUCCUGGGUCUCCACUGAAACAAAGCAAUAUUUAUACACCCACAGGUGAGAACAAUAUGAGAUUGUUUGAUAUAAAACCAACAAUGCUUGAACAUACUUGUUUCUCUACCUCACCAUGUGGCAACCAGAAAAAGCUUUAAAAAUUAAAAACCACUUGCAAAUUGAAGUUGAGAGCCUUCACUUAUUUCUCGAAAUGGAAGGAGGAAGGGGCCUUAAUUUGUCCCAGUAACCCCAUGAAUAUAAUUAGCCAAAUAUGUGGCAUUUCAUCUUAUUACAUGGUCAUGCUGAAGGAGGGAACAUCAAUAAAAUUAGGCAUAAGAAAUCCAUCAAAUGAAGAGAGAUGUACUUAGAAAUAAGAAUAACAAACAUUCUCAGAUACUAUGUACCUUAUCCUGCCUCUAAGAAUAUGUCAAGAAGGUGAAUCAUUCACUUUUAUGUUACCGUUGCUGACAACGGACAACUGUGGAUGGAAACAAAAUUCUCAGCAAUGCAUAUAUGAAACUAAGUAACAUGACUUAGAAAAUAUAAUGUAAAAUAUCACAAUAAACUACUACUAAGUAUGUUCAAUAGUAAUACAACCUCAGUUUGUACCCCAGAAAUUUCUAUCACCAAAACAUCUUAGAAGGUUCAGUGCUAGUGAUGUGCCUGCCAUAAAACCGAAUGCCAAUUUCUAGUUAAAAAAUAACCGCGCAAGACCAUAUUCCUCUACCGCCAAGGGUAUAUGAUCGAGUGGGGCCAACUAAAGACAGGCCCCACGAUUCCAUUUUUUAAUGUAUGUUGUUGUAUAAUGAAUGACGCGCUUGUAUGCUUACGUGACUAUUUGGUUUUUGAUGUGAUGGAAAUUGGAGGGAAAGAUGCUGGACGGACUAAUUUGAUCAAUCGGGUGAGUAGAAGUAUUAGAGUUUUGGCCAUCUCAUCCAUUAAAUUUGGAUGGAGGGUAUGCAUCUUAAUAUGAUAAACAUAUAUGCAUACCGUAUAUGGGUUAUAUACAUAUAAAAAUCAGUGCAGCAGGCAUUUUUUCUGAAUCUAAACAUCUUGGUGGCCGACUUCCAGUGUGAAAAUAUUGGUUUUAGUCCCUGGUCAAAUGGACUGAUGCAUAUUAUGUUUGGUUGUACCACGAAAAAUAAUUUGGUUGCUUUAAGACAUUCAACCGAGGUAGACGAUGCAAUUUUGGCUGACAUGAAGUUUUACGAUCAUCAAUAUAGCAGAAUAUGCAAAAGAUGGGAUAAAGCAAGUCAUAUCUACUCCCUCAGUCCCAUAAUAUAAGAGCGUUUUUGACACGAUGGAGGGAGUAGUUUGUUUAUUUGUUUGAGGAACACUUAUUUGCUUGGAGAAUAAUGAAGUGUGCUUGCACCGGUACACAUGAGAUGAACUUGAACAAAAGAUCUGCAUUCAUAUAUGCAUUGUACCAGAAAUCAGUGCUGCUCUAACUUGCCUCUGCAUUGCCUCUGAACCAGUGCUGAUCUAUAUCGGAGAUCAGGAAUUUACUCAUCAGGUCACUGCAUCUACUUUAUUGCGAUUAAACCACCAAACUCAAAGAAAUACCUGCAAUUUAUUUAAUAGUCUUAUUUGAUUUUUUAUUCAGAAUGCGUUGAGCUAUUUCUUUUGCCGAGCUACAUUCUUGUACAUUGGAUUCUCAAGGAGCAUCACUUGCGAGACAUAUCUUCACAUACUACCAUUUCAGAACACCACUCCCUUCACGCACAGGACAUACAUGUUCUACAUCCACCCCUCACACUCCUAAUUUCAAACCGAGUUGGCAGGUUAUUGUAAGGCAGGUAAGCAACCUUCUAGAUGGAAUGUUGGAAUUUACUCUGGCAAGGUAGGUCUUAAACAUAUUAUCAUCUGGCUAUCUACUGUUUGAGCUCCCCAUGCUGCUAACACCAUCAAAUAUUGUUUGCUCUGGACAUCUUCAUAUGCCAAUUUGACCUUCUUUUUGGCAGACACAGUAUCUCAGAACAUCUAAAUUGACUCCUUGCACAGGUCUCUGAAUUGACACAAUCAGAAGGAUAAAACAAUCGCUAGAGCUCUUAUAGGAAGUCAGCCAUCAUUUUACUUAGACUAAAGAAGGUGUCUAUCACAAAAAAGGAAAAAAAGUAAGUGCGAAGAAACACAUGUAGGGUUCCACAUAAUUUGUAAGAGAUGAUCAAGGCAUAUAGUUGCAGCAAGUAGCAAAUGGCAUGAAUUUAUUCAUGAUGCACUCACGCAUCAAGGGUGUAAAUCUUCUUUAGCUAGGUCCAAAUGCAGAUAGAUACAGUACAUGAAUGAUGUGUGAUAUGUCAUUGUAGGUUUCAGACCUGAUGAAAAGUUUAUUACAGUACACGAAAAAUAUUCAUGAAACGGUUAUACAGUACAGGAAUGAUGAGAAAUCGGAAAUUUCUGUACAGGAAUGAUUUAUAAUAAAUUGCUGAGAGGAAUAAAGAAGAUGCAGAAUGUCUAAAACUUCUCAAAACUGGAAACAAUUAUACAAAAGCUACCUGACAGAGUAUACGGCUAGGAAUCUGCCUAAUUCAGUGUCUCUUAUAAUCCACCAACGACUACGGCGUAAUCACCAUCACUGCGGCUCAACCAGAAUUCGAUCGAAUAAUGAGGCAAAUAAAGCAGCUAAUAUGGGGUAAAUGCACACUAACUUGGCAGCAAGAACAGAUGGGUCAUAAGCGCCUUCAGUGACCCUACGACCUGCAAAUGGUAGUAUACAGACAGUGCGCCUUUACUCUGAAUAACCGAGAAGGAGCUGCCUUUAUCCUAUUUUUUUGCGGGGGAGCUGUCUUUAUCCUCCACUCAAGCUAGCUAUACUUACAAAGUUAGAGUUGUAUAAAGUUUUGAAGCGUAGCACUGUGAAUGGAUCACUCGUCCAGCAGCCUCCUGACACAUAAAAUAGGCAGAGCGAGCAUUACCAGGUCCCAUAACUCGGGGUCAGGCUAGUCGAACACGAUGACGCGCACCACCGUGCGCCACGCCGACGCCAGGUAGUAGAGCGCAGGCCUCUCGCACUGGUUGUGCGCUAGGGGCUUCAUGUUGAACGCGCGCGCCUUGUAGUCAGCGGGCCAGUACCAGUUCAUGAACAUCCGAGCCGGCAUCUGCAUCUCCCGCGCCAGCAUGACGCCCUCGCCACCGUCACCACGAACCCCCACGCCACUGACACCGUCCACCGGUUCGCCGCGAUGUAGCAUAUCAACUGGUGCAUCACCCCCGUCAAACAGCCUCCGCAGAGAUGCCAGGCGCAAACGCAGCGAGUCAGUGACACCAGCGGUGCUACCUGGUGGGCGGCGAGGAGGCCCAGGAGGUCACCAUACAUGCCUUACUCGUGGAAGCCCGAGUGUCGGCACGCCCAGCUCCGCCAUGCCCCAUGCAUGAUGUAGUAGGGGAUGGCGAGGAGGUUGUCCGGGAGGAAGACCGUGUUGUCGACUUGUCGUCGCCCAUGAUGAACCAGCGUACACCUGGGAGACUGAGGCGGAAGGUCUCGGAGAUGACGGUCGACGUGUGAGAUGCAUGCGGAUGGCAGAGCGAUGACCGUGCGUGUAGGAGAAACCGGAGGUAUCCGGUAAGAUCUUGAUGUAUAUGCACUCCUUCCGCUUCUCCAACAGGCGCGCCAACGCCGCGAAGCUGAACACUGCAGUGUAAUCGUCGUUGUCGACAGCGUCGCCGUGGCAGGUUGCGGUGGUGAUGGCGUACUCGUCGUCGACACCACCGUCACUUUGGAGGGUGGUGGUGGCAUCCUCGCCGUCGACACCACCGUGACCGUGGCGGGCGUCGGCAGGGGCCUCGUCAGCGGCAACGUGACUAAUCAGGAGGAUAGUGUUGUGGGCGGCUUCUUCUGGGUGGAGGCAGCCGGGCGCUGCCACGCUGGGCAAGAUGCCAUGUAUGAAGAAGAGCCCUUUUAUAGGCCAGUACGGCGGUGAACGGGUGGCUGGGUUAUGCACCGCACUGGAGCAGAGUUUUCGGGAGCGUCUAGAACACACGGCUGGCCAACAGCGGCAGUAACAAAAAGGGACAUAUCGAUUGGGCUAGAAGCGAUCGCGACAGAAAUACAGAGAAGCAUCGAUGUGUCAGGAAAGGGACAUAUCGAUUGGGCCAGAAGCGGCCGUGACAGAAAUACGGAGAAGCAUCGAUGUGUUAGACUGGCCCACAAGCAAUGAAAAAACGCUAAGCCAACCAAGCGAUCGCCACACCCGUUGAAGAAAUUUGAAUCAAAAAACUGAACACACCACUCAUUUCUACCCUGCCGUGUACCAAAAAAAUACCACGCGCCAUACUCACAACUCACCAUAGGUCACUUUCAUCCAAUUGGUUUAAUCUCAGAGCGAAAACCUUGCCUGCAAUAGAGGCUUGGGUAUUUAAACUAGUGAUCGCUAACAUAGUAGAAAGGCGUGCUCAUAGUCCAUCAACCAUCGCGGUGGGUUGAUCUCGAACCUAGGCUGCGGUUAGAGCAUAAAAAUUGUAUGCGAUAUUGAGUCCAUCACACAAAGUUAGAACAUACAAACUAUGUGCAAUAGGAAGGGUCCAUCACACAUGGUUAUAAGUAAGGGUUAAUUAUCCUUUUGCCCUUAGUGGUGUCCAUGUGCUCAGUUUUGCCCUCAGAUGCGAAUUGUCCUCAGUUUUGCCCCUAGUCCGAGCACAGCAACUACGACGAGGCCAAACGGCCAUAUUUGAGUCCAUUCCGUCCGCCGGCGUUAGUAGUUGUGGGUCCGGAGCUUACACGUGGGACCGCGUGGACGUGGGUCCGGAGCUGACAUGUAGGCCCCUGCAACUAAAUCCCCAAAUCAUUCUAGCUCACACCCAUCCGCGCGGCCGGCUGUCCUGCGCCGCCGCCGCCGCCACCUGCGCCGCGGCCAGCACCUGCCCUGCCACCAGUUGCACGGCCUGCUCCGCCGCUACCUCCCUGCGCCUACGCUCCACGGCUCAUUGUGACGCCCACCACCUUCCUGCGACGCCACGGGUGGGGCGCCCGCCACCUGCUCGAUUCGCGGCGCGGCCUCCUUCCGUGCGCCCGGCCGGAGCGCUCAAAGGUGGGGGGCUGCUGGAGCUAUUUGAACUAGGAGGAAGAACCCUAGGGCGAAAUGGUGAGCAGCGGCGACCCCGGAGUAUUUGGCGAGGCAGGCAUCGGGCCGGAGAUCCGCCGCGUCCACGACUGGGUUCCCGAGGGGUAAGUCUCGCCUCUUGUUUAGAUUGAGCUUAGUUGUGCAUUUGAACACUCGAUUCGAGUAGGUUUGCCCAAUUAGUGUGCUGAUUGCGUCUCUGUUUUUCGCCGGUUAGGAUGGAGUUGCGGUUUGCUUUCAUGGUGCACAUUAGAAGGGACCGGUACAUGUUCGAUGCAAAGGAUAAGAAGAAAUACCAAGGAGGUUUUGAUUAUCGGUUGCCAAUGGCUAGUAAUUGGAGUUUCAGACAAAUUGGGGAGGUAAUUUGUAGCCAAUAUCCUUGGGGUUUGCUUGAUGAAGUGGUAUACAAAUACUAUGAUGGGGAAAAGAAUUGGGUGACAGUUAGUAAUGAUGAAGAGCUAGCUACCAUGUUUGUUAGGCAUAAAGAGAAAGAUAAUUUUCAUGUGAGGCUGCAAGUUGAUGUGCUUGAGCAGGCAUUUGGACCUAGGAUGGCGGGUGCAACAUCUCGGGGAGAAUCAAGUCGUCGUAAUGGCAUCUCUAGCCAGAACAGUUCAGUUGGUGCACGGCGACGUGGUGGCUCGACAAGUGUGGGCAACAGCAGUAGGGUCCCCCUUGAAGUGGAGCCUGAUGGCUACAAUUCUGGGGUUGAUGAAGAGAAGUUAUAUUCUGAUGUUAUUCAGAAUUUACGACGGGCACCUCGGGCUGAAAACCAAGAUGAGGCUCACAAUGCAGUCCGUGUGGAUGAUGACGCAAUGGGUGAGGACGAAGACCUUGCAGCUGUUGAAUGGGACCCUUUGAACCCUCAAAUGGAAGAAGGUACAGUUUUUGCAUCCAUGAAUGAGUGUAGAAAUGCACUUGUGACAUACUGCAUCAAGGUAGAACGUACUUUCAAAGUUGACAAGAGCGAUCAAGUACGUUACAGAGUGCACUAUCCUACUGAGGGUUGUCCAUGGAGGCUGCUUGCAGCUAAAAUGCGGAAUAGCACUAAUGUUCAGGUCAAAGUGGAUCCUUUUAAGCACACAUGCCAGGAAUCAACUCUUAGGAAGGAUACAAUCAGUAGAGCCAAGUCAAGAUGGGUGGCAGAAGAAGUAAAAAAGUGGGUGAAAGAAAACCAGCAAGUGGGUCCAAAGGAAUUGCAGAAGAACAUCAAAGAUAAGUUCAAGAUAGAUUUACCAUACAUGAGAUUGUUCAAUGGUAAACAACAUGCUAUGGAUUCUAUUUAUGGUAACUGGCAGGAAAGUUUUCAAUUGUUGUAUUCAUUCAAAGGUGAAGUGGAGAGGACAAGCCCAGGUAGUAUUGUAGAUAUUGAUCACCACACCGUGGAGUACACAUUAAGGGGAGUGACAAAGACCAAGGAAUGCUUUAGAAGGGUUUUUGUCUGCUUUGAGGCUUGUCGCCGGGGUUUUUUGGUAGGCUGCAGGCCUUAUUUGGCUAUUGAUGCCACUUUUCUCACAGGAAGGUUUAAAGGACAGUUAGUUGCAGCUUGUGCAGUUGAUGCACAUAGUUUUGUAUUUCCAGUUGCCUAUGGUGUGCUGGAGACAGAGUCUGAGGAGAGCUGGACUUGGUUUUUGCAUAAUCUCCGCCGGGCUAUUGCACAUCCCAAUGGGUUGGUCAUUCAUACAGAUGCCUGCAAAGGUUUAGAAGUGGCCGUGGACAAUGUGUUCCCUGGAGUAGAGCAUAGGGAAUGCAUGCGUCACCUUGCUGCAAAUUUCAUGAAGAAAUUCAAAGGAAAGGUGUAUACCGACAAUUUAUGGCCAGCAUCUUUGACAUGCAGUGUGAAGAAGCAUAACUACCACUUGAGGCAGUUAUACAUGAAUCCCAAAGUGAAAGAAUACUUGGAAACACACCACUCCAAGUUAUGGGCCAGAAGCCAAUUCAGUGAAGUGAGCAAAGUUGACUAUGUGCACAAUAAUCUAGCAGAGUCUUUCAACUCAACGAUCCGGAAACUAAAGGGUCAUUAUGUGGUGGAUUUGCUUGACAGGAUAAGGAUAUAAUACAUGCAGAAAUUUCAUUAUCGUGCAGGAAUAGCCGAGGCAAAAUUCAUGGGCCACAUUAUCAUCCCUGCCAUGAUGAAUGAACUGAAGCAGAAGACAAUAGGCUUGGAAAUGAACAUGACGCUUUGCUCGGGUACCACAGCAGAGAUAUCAUAUUUGGAUAAAGAGAAGAGGGAAUGGAGAUAUCCAGUGGAUUUAGAAGCUAGAACUUGCAGUUGUAGGCAAUGACAGAUAACUGGGUUGCCAUGCAUUCAUGCCUUAUUUUUCAUCACUUCUCUCCCAGGUCCAGCAGGGAACACACAGCAGUAUGUGCAUGAUUACUACUCUGUUGCAAGGUUCAAAGCCACAUAUGCUUAUGCCUUGCCUGCUAUGGAGGGAAAACAACAAUGGGACAUGGUGGACCCUGGAUUCAAGCUUUGCGCUCCAGUUCUGAAGAGAGCAGCAGGUAGACCAAGGAAGAGUCGAAUAAGACCUUGCAGCGAAGGAGCUGGACUUGGAGCGAGGAAGCGUAAGUGCACAAGAUGUGGUGGGUCUGGUCAUUUCGGUAAGUAUUGUGAUAAUACAGUAGAUCCAGCGUUCGGAGAGAGUUUCGAUGAAGGCUUCGAUGAAAAUGUUGGUCAGCAGCCGGUUGCCUCAACAGAUGAUGAAAAUGUUGGUCAACAGCCGGUUGCCUCAACAGAUGAUGAAAAUGAUGGUCAACAGCCGGUUGCAUCAGAUGAGGAUUUUGACGAGGUUCCAAAUGAUGAUGGUCAACAGCCGCAUGAUUUUGACGAUGAUCCAAAAUAUCCUCCAAAUAAUGAUUCAAGUGAGGCUCCAAAUGGUGAUCCAAGUGAGGCUCUAAAUGGUGAUCAUGGUGAUCCAAGUGAGGCUCCAAAUGAUGAUCCAAGUGAGGCUCCAAAUGGUGACCAACCUUCUGUUGUUGUGAGUUCUGCUAGGUAUGUAAAUCUUGCAAGGGUCAAAUACUACUGUACAUCUAUCACUUGACACGAUCUCAUUACCGUUUAUGUUUGGACCCUUUAUGUUUUGCACAGCUCUAUGGUAGGUUUGAAGAAGACGCGCAAGGUACCGACAACCAAGAGAAGAAGAGAAGAAACAAUGAGCACAAGGUGCACGAGGAGCAAAGUGAUGACAAGAAGCUCAAGGAACAGACAGAAGCCCCAACGCUAUCUAUGAACAAUUAUGAAACAUUAUGAAUAAGGAAUGAUGUUGUAUUAUGAAACAUUUAUCACUUGACAUGUUGUAUUUCUGUUGGAUGAUGUUGGACCUAUGUUAGAAGUAUGUUUGACAUGAUGUUUAAAUAUAUGUUGGAUGAUGUUUGAAUGAGCACAUGGUUUUUCCUUUUUUUGAUUUUUUUGAAUUUUAUUUUGCUCAUUUAAAUUCUGGUCAAACCUAACUUUGACCAAGAUUUAAGCAAGUCUAAAACAUCAAAAUGAAAAACUAAGCCUGGAUACUUCUUAGUCAAUCCAAAAUGAAGUUGUGGUGAGGUUUUUGAAAUUUUCAUGAAAAAUGUGCUAAAAAGAGGGGUCCAAAGGUAGGGUAAACGGCCUCAUUUCUAAGCAAGGUUUUUUUCGACCUUAUCUAAAUCAGUCAAAUAACUUUCCUACACAUAUAUUCUAUAUGUACAGACUAUGUGCGCUGGUUUUUCCAUUUUUUGAUUUUUUUUAAAUUUGUUUUGCUCAUUUGAAUUCUGGUCAAACUUAACUUUGACCAAGAUUUAAACAAGUGUAAAACAUCAAAAUGAAAAACUAAGCCUGGAUCCUUCUUAGUCACUCCAAAAUGAAGCUGUGGUGAGUUUUUUGAAAUUUUCAUGUUCAUUUCCCCAAAACACUUCUCUUCACUUCAUACAAGAGAGUUUGAGAUACUCGAGAUAUCAUACAAUACACAUGAACUUAUCAUUUAAAUGUAUGUAAAGCUUGUUUAUCAACUUAAAUCGUUAGUAUAUGACAUAAGAAGACUAUGUGCGCAGGUUUUUCAUUUUUCUGAUUUUUAUUUAAUUUAUUAUGCUCAUUUGAAAUCUGGUCAAACAUAGCUUUGACUGCUCCAAACCCCUCCCAAACCCCGCUAACCCUAGCGCUGAAUAAGGACCGUUCAUCUAACCCUAGUGGUGAUCAAGGGCCGUCGAUCUAACCCUUCUAGAAGAAAUCUGCGGGGAGGAGGGGGGCGAUCCGCGAGAUGCAAUCUGAUUGGCUGGGAGAUUGUUUUUUUUAACAAAUAUCGGACGCGCUGGAUGGACCGUUGGGCCGUCUCGUUGUCUGGGCCUGAGAUCGCAGUAAAUAGCCCGUCUCAGCCUUUCCAGGCCUUGCAUGCAUGGAGGCGGCUACGUGGGUUUGCGCAUGCGCGGGAGGCGGCGACGUGCAUGCAUGCGAGUGAGGCGAGCUAGGCGAGCUAGGCUAGCGAGGCGAGCUAGGUGGUUCAGGGCAGUGGUUCAGGGCAGCGGUUCACAUGCACUGCCCGGUCAAAGAUGCAUCGUUUUCGUGCAAAAAUGUAAGUGUGCAAAACAUAACGGAUACACACACGCGUCCAGAUUCACGCACGCACCAUUCUCAUCCUUUCUCUCUUCCUCUCCCACCCACAGGCCUAUAAAUGGGGUUCCUCUCUUCCUCUCCCACCUACAAGCCAGAUCCGAUCCUCUCCAACUGCAAACACCCAAGCGACCAAGCCCUCCCCAAGCGAGACCAAGUGAAGAAGAUGUAGUUCAACGGGCCGACCUUCCGCCGUCCGCCUGUGGUGCCGGAGCUGCGCUACCCACCGGGCGUGCUCGUGGAGAGGGAGCUCCGUGUGUGGGCUAUUUCAAGGUGGAGGGGUUUCGUCGAACUCACCCGCGCCUUCCUCAGAGCCGGCUAUGCCCACCUCCUACAGGGCUCAUCGAGGAUGUUCACCCUCAACGAGGUUCGUGACCGCGGCGGCAUCCUCCUACUGCUCACGGUCACCUUCACCAACCCAUUUGACGCGCGCGAGCUCCUCGGCCAAGUCUUUUGGUGCGGCUGCGAGGUCAUCUUCUUCACCAUCUACAACAUCUACACCAACUACAAGCGCAUCUUCCCUGCUCCAGGCCAGAUGCACUCCCUUCCCUACGACGACGAGGAGGAGGUGUGAAGAUGAAGACGGUGUUGAAGGGGCGCGCGCGGCCAAGGUGGAAGAAGGAGGUCAAGAUGAAGAUGUUCAAGCCCGGAGUCAAGCUCAUCAUGUUUGGUUUUUUAUUUUGUUGCUUUUCUAUGUCGUGUCGUGUCGUGUCAUGUUUCAUCAUGUGUCCGUGAACUAUCCGUGAACUUAUCUAAGUUAUUGUAAUGGUACGGUGUGUUCCAUCUUAUUAUGUGUGUUAAAAAAUGUCCGUUCCCAAACUUAUCAUUUCUUCCCUAAACAAGUCAUGAAGUUCGAGAACUUGUGGUUUUCGGAGGGGGUGAGAAGCCCUCUGUUUUAUUCAAACAAAAAGUCAUGAACUAACAUGCAAAUUUAUUCCCUUUAAAUCCUAAACCAAGUGCCACUCUAACCCUAAACCAAGUGCCACUCUGACCAAAAUCAUGUGGUAGUGCAACAUACAUUUUCAACCUUCCAACCCUCCAAAAUUUAAGUGCAAAACAAAGGAAAACCACUCUCACGCGUGUGCAAACAUUCACGGUCUCACUAUUUUUUUUUAAAAUUCACAGUCUCACUAUGUAUACCUUCCUUCCCUACCCAUGUCAAAGUCUUGCCAUCUGUCCUAGCGGUUACCAGCGCAGCCCUAAACACCACAAACCCACGCGGUCCUGGGUUCGAGUCCCCAGCCGCACCAAUUUUUUGUGCAUUUUCCACCCUUCAUUUUUUUAUACAUAUUAUGUUUUCCUCAAUGUAAUGCCCUUAAAAAAUGUUCAUUUAUUUUGGCACCUGGCGUAAACCUCUACCAGAGCUGAGGCACAUUUUCCAUGACAUUUUGGUCUUUGAUUUAAAUCACGGUGUAUUUGAAUUGGAUUAAUUAACAGCUCGAAAAAAUUUCUAACCUUAAUUGUUUGGCUCCGGAAUAAUUCAAUUAGCUUCCACAAAAAGUUUCAGCAUUAUGAUUUACUGCCUAAAUUAAAUCAGAAUAGAAAACAAAAAAAUAUGCAAGAAAACCCCUGAAUGGGCCUAAUUGGAUGCAGUUGGCCCAUUAGUCUAGCCUGCACUUGGCUCUACGCUCUGAAUUUGGCCCAAGAGCAACCUUUUUUCGGACAGAAAGGCAGAGCAGAGAGCUGCAUUUCAUUGAUCAAAAGUUUCUGAAUUCCUAAUUUCUUCUCUUUUUUUUCCAACAUAUUUAAAUGUUGGUCACUUCUUCUCUUUUUGUUUCAACAUUUAAACAACUUUAACCAACAUUUAAACUAGGUGAAUUUCUCAAACAAUUUCAAGAUUACAAAUUCCUUCAUAAUUCAUGCCUUUCCAUACAUUUUCAACAUUACAACCAGUGCGAUUACCAUACCUACAAAUGCCCAAAAGUAUUUGCAAAUGGGUAUUGGUAGUGCUUGAUCUUCAAGCUUCCUAACCUUCUUCUUCAACAUCCUAAGCUCAAUAGCUAGCUCUCUGUCAGUGCGUGCUUCGCCAUCCAUCUCUUCUUCCGGAGCUCGUGGUGUGGCUACUGCCGUUCGUGGCAGCAUGCGCAACCAUUCUUCAUGCUCUUCUUGCAGUUCAUUCAUCAGAGUCUUGGCCAGAGCAUCGACCCAAAGAAAGAAGCAUGUCACCUGCAUGAACACUAAACAGAUCAACCCAUUGCUCAAACAUCCCGACGACGAAAAUGGUGCAAUUGCCCCGAUUCUUACCCCAUUCUCGCUGCACACGUAGAACGGACGAUUCUGGUUCCUCGGUGUCUGAGAAACCCUUCGAUCAACGCCCGCCCGGCACCGCGGACAGACGAAGACAGGCAUGUCCACACGCGCCCGGCUCUGCAUCCGCGAGGUGGCGCGGGAGCUUGAGGAAGACAUGGAGCUCGGAGCCGAAGGGGAUCUCAACGUUGCCGCGCCCUCCACUGCUAGCUUCCCACCGCCGCGCCCUCCACAGCUAGCUUCCCGCCGCCGUGCUCUCUCUCUCGCCGUGGUCACCGCCGUGCUCUCUGUCGCCGUGGUCACCGCCGUUGUCGCCCGCUUAUAUAGCACACCCGCCAACGGCUCUCUGCUCAAUGGCUCUUUGCUGGGUCCCACAAGCCACGCGUGCAACGGACUGAAUAAAAUUGGCCGUUUCUGCCGCCUGGUCCCACCUGUAAGGGCCGAGUCAAAAGGUUGACCUGACGGAGACGGCAGAGUUCACGGAACGAGUCGGUGCGCACGGACUAGGGGCAAAACUGAGCACAAUUCGCAUCUGAGGGCAAAACUGAGCACAUGGACACCACUGAGGGCAAAAGGAUAAUUAACCCUAUAAUUAAAAAUCGUGUGCUCAGAUGGGUUGGCGAUUGGGGUGCCAACACACACGCUUUCAAAACGGUGUGCGGUGAAUGGGCUCGACUAGGUCUGAAAUAAGUGCUACAUUAUAAAAUUACUCAUUUUUUACAAGCAAACAUAGCACCAGACGUAAUUCACAAUUGGACAACCCAUCGCACACUCUACAAUAUUUUGUUCUGCCAUUUCUCUACUAAUGGACAAAAGGCACUCGGCUUACAUCGGUAUGCCAACAUGAUGUACCUUGAGUGCGUUACGCUGAGUGUCAAACCCGCCGAGGCAAAAUCAGCCUUUGCUAGGGGGUCUGCACACCCAAUGGCGGAGCUAUGUUGGGGCCAGGGGGCCACUGCCCCCCAGCCUUUGAUCAAUUCCUGAAGAAAAUUUAUUUAGGGAGGCUUAGAUUAGACUUUUUUUAGCAUUUGGCGCCCCCAAAAACUGAAGAUUUUUGUUUCCCCCCCCAGUGAUCUUCGGCUAGCUCCGCCACUAUGCACACCCAGCUUAAUAUGCUUUCUUGUAGUGGAGAAUUUUCAACGAAUAAUGUAAAAUAGCCGUUGUGUCAAAAAAAUUGACAGUUAGGUCACUUUGGGACAGAAAAAGUAUCCAAAAGAUGCCCUAUAUACCUAUAUGUUGCAAAAGAAAAUUACCCAAAAUUUUGUCACACACAUCUAGCAGCUGCGCUGAAACCAAAAACAAUGCAGCAGGAACCCAACCACUUGCGAUGAGACUACCCCACCGCCGACAGUCGCCACCCCACACCUACUCUGACCGACUGUGCAGCGCAUGCCGCCGCCACGACUCAAUCGGCCGUUCUUAGCCCUGCUACCACCCUGCCGCUCGGGAUGUCCGCUACAAAUCUUGGGUCGGCGCAUCCGAUUCCACCGACUCUGGCCAUAGAAAGUUGGUGGCUACCGGGACAUCCCCCUUCAGUAUUUUGGCUAAUUUUGAACUUUAUGGACGGAUCACUAGAAAAUGUUAAUAUCGUCCAUGUUGCUGAAGGGGAAUUACUACUUGGGGAUUUCCUCACUGAAUAUUGGAAUAUACUUACUUUAUGCAUGCCAUCAAAUAUAGCUCAUCCCCUGAAAGAACAAAGAUUGCUGAUGUUUUUUUCCACGGUUUUCUAAAACAAUGUUGAUCUUUUUCAGAGAAAUGCAAUGAUUAUUUUUAGAGAACAUUCUGCAAAUCAACUAAAUAAGAGUCUAGGCAUUCUUCUUGUUUUUUUCAGGGGGAAGGUGUCUAGACAUUUAUUAACAUGUAGAACUUACAAUGCAUGGGGAAUGAAAGAUCAAAUAUACCUUGCUCUCCUUUCUUAUUUUAGUGGCUGUUAAUGUCAUCAUAAAGAAUAUUACACAUUAGGAUUGAGUUGUUUUGCUCUUCUAUUUUCCAGUAAGCCAUGCGAUAUUUUACAACCCAUCGGACACCCUUAUGGAUCUGAUGCUAUGUAGAUCAAGAUUAUUUCUAAUUACCCGCGAGACACCGACAGAGUAUAUCAUGUGGAAUUUCUUGUUCCUGUGGUUAGGAUGAACCAUUGCAACAUAUCGCAAUAAAUAGCUGGGCAAAAAAAAUAUGAUCAUCACAAUAAUAUUAGGUCUUGGAACCAUGACUUAUUACAUAAUCAGUUUAUUCUCUCUACAUAAAGCAGCGGACUCACAAAGACACAUGCAUAUUGGAUACUACAUUAUAUGGAAGGUGUGCAUGCAUCCGUAACCGAUCACACCCUUAGCUGCACCUGGGGCUCUGCACGAAGUUGCUAACCGGAAAUGACUGGUCGAACGUGGUUGCAUGCUCACUACCAGUAAACCUCAGCUUGUCACCGACGCGUUGAACCGUGUGGAAUGCAAGAAAAUCCCACUCAAACUGGAUCCUCACGCCACCCAGUUGAGUUAUGGAUCCGGGCCGGAUAACACCACUGACUAUGCUGUCAAACCGAAUCUUGUGUGAUCCACCGGCAACCGUAACGUUGAAGUCGCAGGAGGCGGAGUGUCACCUCAACGGCGCCCCCAUGGUUCAUGUAUGACUUCACACCCUGAGGCAGGAGAGCCCGCGGGAAGUUGUUUUUCUCCAAAAGGUCGUCCGCUGUGUCGGAGGUGGCUACUUGGAGGACAGAAGCCAGGAAGACGAUGAGGAGCAGAUGCUGGAUGGCCAUGGCUAACUGUUGCUUAUAAAUUGUAGGAUCGAUAUACGAAAAUGAGGAAUGGGGAAGUGCGUGCAGACUGAG
This 26190-nucleotide long non-coding RNA is filed under the name Triticum aestivum (bread wheat). RNAcentral's name for it is "long non-coding RNA (TAES_LNC003690)". The record is from RNAcentral. Lineage: Eukaryota; Viridiplantae; Streptophyta; Magnoliopsida; Poales; Poaceae.